GACGAACGCUGGCGGCGUGCUUAACACAUGCAAGUCGAACGAUGAAGUUCCUUCGGGAAUGGAUUAAUGGCGAACGGGUGAGGAACACGUGAGAAACCUGCCUUUCAUUUUGGGAUAACUCCGGGAAACCGGGGCUAAAACCGAAUACUCCGUCUCGGCGGCAUCGCUGAGCCGGGAAAAAAUUUUGAUGAAAGAUGGUCUCGCGGCCUAUCAGCUAGUUGGUGAGGUAAUGGCUCACCAAGGCAACGACGGGUAGCCGGCCUGAGAGGGCGACCGGCCACACUGGGACUGAGACACGGCCCAGACUCCUACGGGAGGCAGCAGUGGGGAAUAUUGGGCAAUGGGCGCAAGCCUGACCCAACGACGCCGCGUGAGGGAUGAAGGCCUUCGGGUUGUAAACCUCUUUCAGUAGGGAAGAAGCGAAAGUGACGGUACCUAAAGAAGAAGCACCGGCUAACUGUGUGCCAGCCGCCGCAGUAA
Molecule: ribosomal RNA, 480 nt
Filed under: uncultured bacterium
Lineage: Bacteria
Description: partial 16S ribosomal RNA
Rfam family: Bacterial small subunit ribosomal RNA
Source: RNAcentral